AUCUCCUACUGAGCUGGAAGCUCUGGUGGAUAGGGGCAGGUCUGCUCAUUCACUGCUGCCUUCCCUGCACCUGGUACCAUGCACACAGAAUAAGCCUAGCAGAAUGCCUGUGGAUGGACUGACCAAUGAAAGUAAUGAGGUGCUGGGACCCGAAGGCUGAGUGGCAUGAGUCAUGAGGAGGCAUAGGUGGAGUUGGAGGUGGGAGGAGGAUGAUGUAGCAAAGGGCCAGGCGGGUUCAGGCACGUUCCUGGCGGAAGGUGCUCUGAUGCUGUGGAAGACAGUUUCUUCAUGGAUUCCAACUGCUUGAUUUGUGGGAAUGACUCAACCAUGCCUGUUCUCCCCCACCUUUGAUGAGGCAUCUGACACUGAGUUAAUUCAUUUGCAUGGUGUAGACUAUAGUAAAUCCAGUGUUGG
Molecule: long non-coding RNA, 414 nt
Filed under: Homo sapiens (human)
Lineage: Eukaryota; Metazoa; Chordata; Mammalia; Primates; Hominidae
Description: HSALNT0337797
Source: RNAcentral